RNAcentral lists this ribosomal RNA (354 nucleotides) under uncultured bacterium. RNAcentral's name for it is "partial 16S ribosomal RNA". It matches the Rfam family "Bacterial small subunit ribosomal RNA", at positions 338 to 706 of the family's 1533-position model. The record is from RNAcentral.
CCUACGGGUGGCAGCAGUGGGGAAUAUUGGGCAAUGGGCGCAAGCCUGACCCAGCAACGCCGCGUGAAGGAAGAAGGCUUUCGGGUUGUAAACUUCUUUUCUCAGGGACGUAGAAAGUGACGGUACCUGAGGAAUAAGCCACGGCUAACUACGUGCCAGCAGCCGCGGUAAUACGUAGGUGGCAAGCGUUAUCCGGAUUGAUGGGGUGUAAAGGGCGUGUAGACGGGAGAGCAAGUCAGAUGUGAAAACUCAGGGCUCAACCCUGAGCCUGCAUUUGCAACUGUGUUUCUUGAGUGCUGGAGAGGCAAGCGGAAUUCGGUGUGUAGAGGCGAAAUGCGUAGAUAUACGGAGGAA